UACGUAGGGUGCGAGCGUUGCCCGGAUUUAUUGGGCGUAAAGGGCGCGUAGGCGGCCACGCACGUCCGUUGUGAAAGCCCCCGGCUCAACUGGGGAGGGUCACGCGAUACUGUUCGACUCGAAGGCAGGAGAGGGAAGCAGAAUUCCCGGUGUAGUGGUGAAAUGCGUAGAUAUCGGGAGGAAUACCAGUGGCGAAGGCGGCUUCCUGGCCUGUUCUUGACGCUGAGGCGCGAAAGCUAGGGUAGCAAACGGG
Molecule: ribosomal RNA, 253 nt
Filed under: uncultured bacterium
Lineage: Bacteria
Description: partial 16S ribosomal RNA
Rfam family: Bacterial small subunit ribosomal RNA
Source: RNAcentral